GAGGUUAUAGCUCAGUGGUAGAGGGCAUGCCUAGCAUGCACGAGGUCCUGGGUUCAAUCCUCAGUACCUCCA
Molecule: transfer RNA, 72 nt
Filed under: Camelus bactrianus (Bactrian camel)
Lineage: Eukaryota; Metazoa; Chordata; Mammalia; Artiodactyla; Camelidae
Also listed under: 2 other names
Rfam family: tRNA
About the family: Transfer RNA (tRNA) molecules are approximately 80 nucleotides in length. Their secondary structure includes four short double-helical elements and three loops (D, anti-codon, and T loops). Further hydrogen bonds mediate the characteristic L-shaped molecular structure. tRNAs have two regions of fundamental functional importance: the anti-codon, which is responsible for specific mRNA codon recognition, and the 3' end, to which the tRNAs corresponding amino acid is attached (by aminoacyl-tRNA synthetases). tRNAs cope with the degeneracy of the genetic code in two manners: having more than one tRNA (with a specific anti-codon) for a particular amino acid; and 'wobble' base-pairing, i.e. permitting non-standard base-pairing at the 3rd anti-codon position.
Source: Rfam by way of RNAcentral